Brassica napus (rape) is the source of this 889-nucleotide long non-coding RNA. RefSeq lists it as uncharacterized. NCBI's taxonomy places the organism in Eukaryota, Viridiplantae, Streptophyta, Magnoliopsida, Brassicales, Brassicaceae. The record is from RefSeq and is a predicted model, not a curated record. The transcript is spliced from 3 exons.
CAGCUUUAGCCAUCUCUAUUCCUAUAACUAGACCCAGGCCUAUAUCCCUUUAGUCAUUUCUCUUCCUCUCUCUUUCUUUCUAUUCUCUUCUGGUUUUGAUCGCUGGAAGCUCACUGAUUUUUUCUCUGAAUCAAGAACCUUUUUUUUUUGGCCAAAAAUCUCUUCGAUCCCACACUAAUUUUCUCAAUCGACUCUGAUUUUUUCUCUGUCUCUUUGAUGAUAAUCCAAUCUCUCUAUUCAUUUUUUAUUUCUCUUUUUUCAGGAAUUGAGAAAAUCUCUGCAAUGAUCUUAUGUUGUAGCAUCUGCCCAACCCUUUCAUUUGGUUUCAUCAAUGGAGGUAGCUUCAGAUUCCAUGAAAACAAAAAUAUGAAAUCAAGAAACUGCAAAAAAAAAAAUAUGAGCUUCAGAUUUCUGUGCUCUGGUGAUAACGGAUUCAGACAAGACAUGAAGAAGAUCAUAAUCAACUUGGAGGCGCCUGAAAUCUACUCACUGGAUAAAACUGGACAGAAAGAUCCACUGCAAAGGCGUCAAAAGAAAAUGUCUUGUUGCAGAUAAUUCAUGGAAAGGCUCAUCUAAAGUGUUCUGGUGGGAACUUUGAUGCUUUUGCUUUGAUCAUUGAUGGAAAAUUACUUGCUUAUGCGUUGGAUGAUAUAAAGCACAUCUUCUAAGAGCCAGCUAUUAUCUGUGCUUCAGUCAGUUGUUGGUUGGUUUAUUCUUGGGUUUUAAUGUAAUGAUGAGUAUUCUUGAUUAUGUAUAGGUUAACAAAAUGAUAUAGGUGGUUAUUGUAAAUUUAAUCUGAAAUUACUAUAAAAAUCUGGUUAUACUAUUAGUAAUGCCGUAUGUAAUUCUUCUAAACCGGAUAACCAAAUGAAAAUGCUAAACAAUUGUG